Glycine soja is the source of this 1505-nucleotide RNA transcript. It is a transcript of the gene named homeobox-leucine zipper protein HAT4-like, with no coding region annotated. The transcript has 4 exons. The record is from RefSeq and is a predicted model, not a curated record. Lineage: Eukaryota; Viridiplantae; Streptophyta; Magnoliopsida; Fabales; Fabaceae.
ACUGACCUUACUGACAUAAAGUCAUCAUUGAACUUACACACCACUCUCACCCAUUCUCUCUCCUUUCUAUAUAAUCUCCACCCACAUGGCCCCUCCUACCACUCCAAAACCAAAACUCAAACUCCCCUGCUAUUCUUCUUCUCCCUCAAUUCUCUCUCACCAAAACCCUUUGCACCCAAUACCCUCAAACUCAACUUCAAUUGCUAAUUUUUAUAAAGCUAGCCGGAGAUGAUGGUUCAAAAGGAAGAUUUGGGUUUGAGUUUAAGUCUCAAUUUCCCUCAUCACAGUACCCCAAAUCCUCAACAUCUGAGUCUCAUGUCAUCCUCUACUCAUUCCUCUUCCCCUUCUGGUUUCAACCCUCAAAAACCCUCUUGGAACGAGGCUUUCGCUUCUUCGGAUCCAGAUCGAAACUCCGACACAUGCAGAGGCGAAACACGGUCGUUCCUGCGGGGAAUCGACGUGAACCGGUUACCUUCCGCCGUGGACGCCGAGGAGGAAGCGGGAGUUUCGUCUCCAAACAGCACCGUCUCGUGCGUGAGCGGAAAACGAAGCGAGAGAGAACCCAACGGCGAAGAACACGACAUGGACAGAGCCUGUUCCCGCGGAAUCAGCGACGAAGAAGACGCUGAAACCUCAAGGAAAAAACUUAGACUCUCCAAAGACCAAUCCGCUAUCCUCGAAGAAAGCUUCAAAGAACACAACACCCUCAACCCCAAGCAAAAAUUGGCACUGGCAAAACAGCUAGGGCUUCGACCUAGACAAGUGGAGGUGUGGUUCCAGAACAGAAGGGCAAGGACUAAGCUGAAGCAAACUGAGGUGGACUGCGAAGUAUUGAAAAGGUGCUGUGAGAAUCUGACGGAGGAAAAUAGAAGGUUACAGAAGGAGGUUCAGGAGCUUAGAGCACUGAAACUUUCCCCCCAGUUUUACAUGCAAAUGAGCCCACCCACGACGCUCACUCUGUGCCCCUCUUGCGAGCGUGUGGCUGUUUCGUCCUCCGCCGUUGGUUCUGCCACGCGUCAUCAUCCCAUGGCCCAUGCCCAUGCCCAUGCUCGGCCCAUGCCCAAUGGCCCGUGGGCUUCCGCAGCUCCCAUUCCACACCGGCCGUUUGAUGCUUUCCACCAAUGAUCUUGAGGGUGUUUUGGUCAUUGUGAAUUAUUAUUAUUUACAAUUAUGGGCCUACUUGUACCACCGUGAAUGUGUGUACCCCAAAAGAGAGAAAAUAUUGGGAGAAACAGUGAGGGAGCGGUUGAAACAGCAUGCUGUGGAAUUGUGCGUGUUCCAAAGUGCGGUGCGGUCUAAGGAUAUGGUCAUUAGAAGAAGGGAUUUGGUGGGUCUCCAAUGUUUUGUACCAGUUUGACCCAUCAACUUUUGUUUUGUUGGGUAUGACCUAUAUUAGUUAGGAGUUUUUCAGUUUUUAGUAUUACUUAAAUUUUCUCCUCAACAGAGACUUUGUGUAAAGUGCAAUUUUCUAGUUAAAUUUCACUUAAUUGGGUUUGGGAUAAUUA